UAAUAAUGGCUAAGUGUUUAGAGGGUUUCCGCCCUUUAGUGCUGCAGCUAACGCAUUAAGCACUCCGCCUGGGGAGUACGGUCGCAAGACUGAAACUCAAAGGAAUUGACGGGGGCCCGCACAAGCGGUGGAGCAUGUGGUUUAAUUCGAAGCAACGCGAAGAACCUUACCAGGUCUUGACAUCCUCUGACAACUCUAGAGAUAGAGCGUUCCCCUUCGGGGGACAGAGUGACAGGUGGUGCAUGGUUGUCGUCAGCUCGUGUCGUGAGAUGUUGGGUUAAGUCCCGCAACGAGCGCAACCCUUGAUCUUAGUUGCCAGCAUUUAGUUGGGCACUCUAAAGUGACUGGCGGUGACAAACCGGAGGAAGGGGGGGAUGACGUCAAAUCAUCAUGCCCCUUAUGACCUGGGCUACACACCUGCUACAAUGGAUGGGACAAAGGGCUGCAAGACCGCGAGGUCAAACCAAUCCCAUAAAACCAUUUCUCAGUUCCGGAUUGUAGGCUGCCACUCUGCCUACAUGAAGCUGGAAAUCGCUAGUAAUCGCGGAUCAGCAUGGCGCGGUGAAUACGUUCCCCGGGGCUUGUACACACCGCCCGUCACACCACGAGAGUUUGUAACACCCGAAGUCGGUGGAGUAACCGUAAGGGAGCUAGCCGCCUAAGGUGGGACAAAAGAUUGGGGUGAAAAUCCUAACAAAAGUAAACCAAACCGCAUGAGCAAACAACCUU
RNAcentral lists this ribosomal RNA (729 nucleotides) under Priestia megaterium. RNAcentral describes it as "bacterial SSU rRNA". It matches the Rfam family "Bacterial small subunit ribosomal RNA", at positions 801 to 1533 of the family's 1533-position model. The record is from RNAcentral. Lineage: Bacteria; Bacillati; Bacillota; Bacilli; Caryophanales; Bacillaceae.